GAUGAACGCUGGCGGCGUGCUUAACACAUGCAAGUCGAACGAGAACGGAAUAUAGCUUGCUAUAUUUGUCAGCUAAGUGGCGCACGGGUGAGUAAUGUAUAGAUAACCUGCCCUUAAGAAAGGAAUAACAGUUGGAAACGACUGCUAAUGCCCUAUAUGCCUUUAAUACAUAAGUAUGCAAGGGAAACGCUUUAGUGCUUAAGGAUGGGUCUGUAUGGUAUCAGCUUGUUGGUGAGGUAAUGGCUCACCAAGGCUAUGACGCCUAACUGGUUUGAGAGGAUGAUCAGUCACACUGGAACUGAGACACGGUCCAGACUCCUACGGGAGGCAGCAGUGGAGAAUAUUGCACAAUGGACGAAAGUCUGAUGCAGCAACGCCGCGUGGAGGAUGACACAUUUCGGUGCGUAAACUCCUUUUAUAUAGGAAGAUAAUGACGGUACUAUAUGAAUAAGCACCGGCUAACUCCGUGCCAGCCGCCGCCGUAA
This 485-nucleotide ribosomal RNA is filed under the name uncultured bacterium. Its description in RNAcentral is "partial 16S ribosomal RNA". It matches the Rfam family "Bacterial small subunit ribosomal RNA", at positions 28 to 523 of the family's 1533-position model. The record is from RNAcentral.